UACGUAGGGUGCAAGCGUUGUCCGGAAUUAUUGGGCGUAAAGAGCUCGUAGGCGGUCUGUCGCGUCUGCUGUGAAAACUCGGGGCUUAACCCCGGGCCUGCAGUGGAUACGGGCAGACUAGAGUGCGGUAGGGGAGACUGGAAUUCCUGGUGUAGCGGUGAAAUGCGCAGAUAUCAGGAGGAACACCGGUGGCGAAGGCGGGUCUCUGGGCCGUAACUGACGCUGAGGAGCGAAAGCGUGGGGAGCGAACAGG
Molecule: ribosomal RNA, 253 nt
Filed under: uncultured bacterium
Lineage: Bacteria
Description: partial 16S ribosomal RNA
Rfam family: Bacterial small subunit ribosomal RNA
Source: RNAcentral